RNAcentral lists this ribosomal RNA (501 nucleotides) under uncultured bacterium. Its description in RNAcentral is "partial 16S ribosomal RNA". It matches the Rfam family "Bacterial small subunit ribosomal RNA", at positions 30 to 523 of the family's 1533-position model. The record is from RNAcentral.
AUUGAACGCUGGCGGCAGGCUUAACACAUGCAAGUCGAGCGGAGAUGAGGUGCUUGCACCUUAUCUUAGCGGCGGACGGGUGAGUAAUGCUUAGGAAUCUGCCUAUUAGUGGGGGACAACAUUCCGAAAGGAAUGCUAAUACCGCAUCCGUCCUACGGGAGAAAGCAGGGGAACUUCGGACCUUGCGCUAAUAGAUGAGCCUAAGUCGGAUUAGCUAGUUGGUGGGGUAAAGGCCUACCAAGGCGACGAUCUGUAGCGGGUCUGAGAGGAUGAUCCGCCACACUGGGACUGAGACACGGCCCAGACUCCUACGGGAGGCAGCAGUGGGGAAUAUUGGACAAUGGGGGGAACCCUGAUCCAGCCAUGCCGCGUGUGUGAAGAAGGCCUUAUGGUUGUAAAGCACUUUAAGCGAGGAGGAGGCUACUGAGACUAAUACUCUUGGAUAGUGGACGUUACUCGCAGAAUAAGCACCGGCUAACUCUGUGCCAGCAGCCGCAGUAA